Molecule: long non-coding RNA, 150 nt
Organism: Bufo bufo (common toad)
Lineage: Eukaryota; Metazoa; Chordata; Amphibia; Anura; Bufonidae
Exons: 3
Source: RefSeq, a predicted model, not a curated record
AUGAGGCCUAAACAAAAUAUUAAUGGAGCUCAUGAGGAGACAUGAAGUACAGAGAGGAGAUGGGGAUGUGGCUGUGUCAUGCUGUGGAUUAGGACAGGUUUUGUGUGUACUAAUAGGACGGCGGCCAUUUUAUUUCUCCUAAUGAUUGCU